AUGGCUGCAGGUGGGGCUUCUCUUCUUGCCUUCUCUUUUUUUUCCAUGCUGGUCAUGUCUUCCCUGGGGGGUCCUAGGCCUUUAUGCAGCGACUGCGAGACGCUGUGCCGUACCAACUGCGAUGCAGAGGUUGAAACCCUCUGCGGCAGUACCUGCGACUACAACAACAGCGGUCAGGCCGACUGCCGGCGUCAGCUCUUGAAGAGGUGCACCACAGAAGGUACCUGCUGCAGUAGCAACGGCACAUGCACUUGUGAUUGCAACACUGUAGCUCAAAACGGUUGCUUCGGGGUCAGCGACGGGUACACACGCUGCGGUUCAUGCAAGCUUGGCAGGUUCAACCAGUGCUAUCCCACCUGCAAGAACGACUGCAACAACAACUGCAAGAAGAAGAAAGGGUGCCACGCAUAG
RNAcentral lists this ribosomal RNA (411 nucleotides) under Triticum aestivum (bread wheat). RNAcentral describes it as "partial small subunit ribosomal RNA". The record is from RNAcentral. Lineage: Eukaryota; Viridiplantae; Streptophyta; Magnoliopsida; Poales; Poaceae.